UCCCCGGUGGCUCAGAUGGUAAAGAAUCUGCCUGCAAUGCAGGAGACCCAGGUUCAAUCCCUGGGUCAGGAA
Molecule: transfer RNA, 72 nt
Filed under: Muntiacus reevesi (Reeves' muntjac)
Lineage: Eukaryota; Metazoa; Chordata; Mammalia; Artiodactyla; Cervidae
Also listed under: 6 other names
Rfam family: tRNA
About the family: Transfer RNA (tRNA) molecules are approximately 80 nucleotides in length. Their secondary structure includes four short double-helical elements and three loops (D, anti-codon, and T loops).
Source: Rfam by way of RNAcentral